UACAGAGGGUGCAAGCGUUAAUCGGAAUUACUGGGCGUAAAGCGCGCGUAGGCGGUUAGUUAAGUUGGAUGUGAAAUCCCCGGGCUCAACCUGGGAACUGCAUUCAAAACUGAUUGACUAGAGUAUGGUAGAGGGUGGUGGAAUUUCCUGUGUAGCGGUGAAAUGCGUAGAUAUAGGAAGGAACACCAGUGGCGAAGGCGGCCACCUGGACUGAUACUGACGCUGAGGUGCGAAAGCGUGGGGAGCAAACAGG
Molecule: ribosomal RNA, 253 nt
Filed under: uncultured bacterium
Lineage: Bacteria
Description: partial 16S ribosomal RNA
Rfam family: Bacterial small subunit ribosomal RNA
Source: RNAcentral